RNAcentral lists this ribosomal RNA (619 nucleotides) under uncultured bacterium. Its description in RNAcentral is "bacterial SSU rRNA". It matches the Rfam family "Bacterial small subunit ribosomal RNA", at positions 48 to 681 of the family's 1533-position model. The record is from RNAcentral.
AAGAUACUUAAAAUGAGAGCUUCGGCAGGAUUUUUAUUUAUCUUAGUGGCGGACGGGUGAGUAACGUGUGGGCAACCUGCCCUAUACUGGGGAAUAAUCACUGGAAACGGUGACUAAUACCGCAUGUCAUUGCGGAAGGGCAUCCUUCUGUAAGAAAAGGAGUAAUUCGGUAUAGGAUGGGCCCGCAUCUGAUUAGCUAGUUGGUGAGAUAACAGCCCACCAAGGCGACGAUCAGUAGCCGACCUGAGAGGGUGAUCGGCCACAUUGGGACUGAGACACGGCCCAAACUCCUACGGGAGGCAGCAGUGGGGAAUAUUGCACAAUGGGGGAAACCCUGAUGCAGCAACGCCGCGUGAAGGAAGAAGGUUUUCGGAUCGUAAACUUCUAUCAACAGGGACGAAGAAAGUGACGGUACCUGAAUAAGAAGCCCCGGCUAACUACGUGCCAGCAGCCGCGGUAAUACGUAGGGGGCAAGCGUUAUCCGGAAUUACUGGGUGUAAAGGGAGCGUAGGCGGCACGCCAAGCCAGAUGUGAAAGCCCGAGGCUUAACCUCGCGGAUUGCAUUUGGAACUGGCGAGUUAGAGUACAGGAGAGGAAAGCGGAAUUCCUAGUGUAGCGG